UACGAAGGGGGCUAGCGUUGCUCGGAAUCACUGGGCGUAAAGGGCUCGUAGGCGGCCAACUAAGUCGGAUGUGAAAUCCCCAGGCUUAACCUGGGAACUGCAUCCCAUACGGCGCGCCUGGAGCCUUGCAGAGGGCGGUGGAAUUGCCGGUGUAGUGGUGAAAUGCGUAGAGAUCGGCAGGAACACCCAGGGAGAAAUCAGCCGCCUGGGCAAGUGCUGACGCUGAGGUGCGAAAGCGUGGGGAGCGAACCGG
Molecule: ribosomal RNA, 253 nt
Filed under: uncultured bacterium
Lineage: Bacteria
Description: partial 16S ribosomal RNA
Rfam family: Bacterial small subunit ribosomal RNA
Source: RNAcentral